GGUGAUGAAAUCAUGGCACAGGUAAUCAUUUAAUCAACCAUUCUGCAUCAACUUCAGAUUUCAACUCUGGUUGGAUUAGUGUAUCACUUUGUAUUUCACCAUUUAUGGCACUAAGCAUCUAGCUGAUAGCGAGAGCAUGGGUGGGAAGCCUGAUUUCUAUUGGUUAAUACUUUAGUAAGGUAGUAUUAGAAAAUGUGAAUUGGGUUCAUACCUAAUGUUACAUAUGCUGUCUCAUAAAGGUGGAUUAGAGUUCU
This 254-nucleotide unclassified non-coding RNA is filed under the name Hevea brasiliensis (rubber tree). The record is from RNAcentral. Lineage: Eukaryota; Viridiplantae; Streptophyta; Magnoliopsida; Malpighiales; Euphorbiaceae.